CUUGAAGGUGGCACUGGUUCGGGAGUCGGGGGUUGAUUCCACAUAUCUCCGUGGUUUCCCUCUUCCAGUGUAAUGCUGAGUCAUUGAGUAGCUCUAAGAAUGAUGGAGCAUUGUACGUCUCUUGGAGAGCGGAUCAGUGCUGACUUUAAAGUGCAGAAAAUGUGGUGCCUGUCGUAACUUAUACCCUGUGUCCUCUUUGCACUUCAGAUCUUGUGUAUUUUUUCCUAA
This is a long non-coding RNA of Carya illinoinensis, 228 nucleotides long. RefSeq lists it as uncharacterized. The transcript is spliced from 2 exons. Lineage: Eukaryota; Viridiplantae; Streptophyta; Magnoliopsida; Fagales; Juglandaceae. The record is from RefSeq and is a predicted model, not a curated record.